UACGUAGGGUGCAAGCGUUGUCCGGAAUUAUUGGGCGUAAAGAGCUCGUAGGCGGUCUGUCGCGUCUGCUGUGAAAACCCAGGGCUUAACCCUGGGCCUGCAGUGGGUACGGGCAGACUAGAGUGCGGUAGGGGAGAUCGGAAUUCCUGGUGUAGCGGUGAAAUGCGCAGAUAUCAGGAGGAACACCGGUGGCGAAGGCGGAUCUCUGGGCCGUAACUGACGCUGAGGAGCGAAAGCAUGGGGAGCGAAC
RNAcentral lists this ribosomal RNA (250 nucleotides) under uncultured bacterium. Its description in RNAcentral is "partial 16S ribosomal RNA". It matches the Rfam family "Bacterial small subunit ribosomal RNA", at positions 524 to 773 of the family's 1533-position model. The record is from RNAcentral.